GAUGAACGCUAGCGGCAGGCCUAAUACAUGCAAGUCGAACGAUAGUGAGAAGCUUGCUUCUCACGAAAGUGGCGCACGGGUGCGUAACGCGUAUGCAACCUACCUUAAUCAGGGGGAUAGCCCGAAGAAAUUCGGAUUAACACCGCAUAAAGUCACAGUAUAGCAUUAUACAAUGAUCAAAUAUUUAUAGGAUUAAGAUGGGCAUGCGUGACAUUAGUUAGUUGGCGGGGUAACGGCCCACCAAGACCACGAUGUCUAGGGGAUCUGAGAGGAUGACCCCCCACACUGGUACUGAGACACGGACCAGACUCCUACGGGAGGCAGCAGUAAGGAAUAUUGGUCAAUGGAGGCAACUCUGAACCAGCCAUGCCGCGUGCAGGAAGACAGCCCUCUGGGUCGUAAACUGCUUUUAUUCGGGGAUAAACCUAUCUACGUGUAGAUAGCUGAAUGUACCGAAGGAAUAAGGAUCGGCUAACUCCGUGCCAGCAGCCGCCGUAA
Molecule: ribosomal RNA, 498 nt
Filed under: uncultured bacterium
Lineage: Bacteria
Description: partial 16S ribosomal RNA
Rfam family: Bacterial small subunit ribosomal RNA
Source: RNAcentral